Molecule: ribosomal RNA, 460 nt
Filed under: uncultured bacterium
Lineage: Bacteria
Description: partial 16S ribosomal RNA
Rfam family: Bacterial small subunit ribosomal RNA
Source: RNAcentral
CCUACGGGAGGCAGCAGUGAGGAAUAUUGGUCAAUGGACGAGAGUCUGAACCAGCCAAGUAGCGUGAAGGAUGACUGCCCUAUGGGUUGUAAACUUCUUUUAUAUGGGAAUAAAAUGUUCCACGUGUGGGAUUUUGUAUGUACCUUAUGAAUAAGGAUCGGCUAACUCCGUGCCAGCAGCCGCGGUAAUACGGAGGAUCCGAGCGUUAUCCGGAUUUAUUGGGUUUAACGGGAGCGUAGGUGGGUUGUUAAGUCAGUUGUGAAAGUUUGCGGCUCAACCGUAAAAUUGCAGUUGAAACUGGCAGUCUUGAGUACAGUAGAGGUGGGCGGAAGUCGUGGUGUAGCGGUGAAAUGCUUAGAUAUCACGAAGAACUCCGAUUGCGAAGGCAGCUUACUGGACUGCAACUGACACUGAGGCUCGAAAGUGUGGGUAUCAAACAGGAUUAGAUACCCGGGUAGUC